AAGUCGUAACAAGGUUUCCGUAGGUGAACCUGCGGAAGGAUCAUUAUCGAAAAUAAAGGGUUGUCUGCUGGCCUCUCGGGGCGCGUGCACGCCAAAUCCACAACACGACCUGCUGAACCCCACCGUAAGGCCCCUCGGGGCCUUUAUGUAUUCAUCAUAUACCGUCCUGAUCAAUAGAAUGUUAAAUAAUUUUGCCCUUAAAAACGCCAACUGAAAUACAA
RNAcentral lists this unclassified non-coding RNA (221 nucleotides) under plant metagenome. RNAcentral describes it as "partial contains small subunit ribosomal RNA and internal transcribed spacer 1". The stretch from base 1 to 46 matches the Rfam family "Eukaryotic small subunit ribosomal RNA", at positions 1786 to 1831 of the family's 1831-position model. The record is from RNAcentral.